UCGGAGGAAUUUAAAAAGCCUGAAGUCCAUGAUUACAAUAAGGAAACUGACUGGGAAUCCCCGGGAGUGGUGGUCAGGCAGGUUAAUCAAUCUAAAGAUAGACAAAAGUGCCAGGGUCUUCUGGCCGCACCCCAGCCUGGGACCUGAGACCGUUCGCAUGUAUGUGGGAAAAAUGGCCAGGGGGAGGAGGAAAAUGGCCCUGGGGCUCCUUGGUACAGGAGCCCAAUGCACUAUGAUACCAAAACCUGUUGGUGAAGUCUUAGCAGGGGCUAAGGUUAGAGUGGGAGGAUAUGGAGAUGCAGUGGCUGAUGGUAUUGAGGUGGAAGUUUGGAUGAAAAUUGAGUGUUUGAGCACGUUUUGCUUGAGGUGGUUGCGUCCCCUUUACCUGAAAGGAUUAUUGGGAUGGAUACUGUGUCUGACUGGGGUUGGCUUCCCCUGCCUAAUACAGUAACACAGAAGGCAUGUAAGCCCACCCUCAGGCCUGUUUAGUCGGACAUGCUAAAUUGGGAAUGGCUGGAACUUGACAAACAUAUCACCAUUCUUAGGAGUGCCAUGCUGGAAGCUGGAGCGCUGCUGUCCGCAGAUCUGCUGUGCAGUAGUCCUGUGUGGCCUGUGCAGAGGUGGACGGCACAUAGAGACUAUUCAAGCUUAAAUGAAAUGGGUGCCGCCCAAGGUCCCAGCAGUUCCAGGCAUGGUCUCAGCCGUAGAGAAAGUACAGCAGGUUGGAGGAGGCUGGUACCCCUGGAUGGACCUUACAGAUGCUCUCUUCUCCGAGCCCGGUUUGCCUUCAGGUGGGAAGGAUCCCAGUUUGCCUCUGCUGUGCUAGGCGGGGAUCUGAGCUCCACGGCUGAUUGUCACCACGUGGUCAGGAGGGAUAUGGACUUGGCGCAACGCUUGAGUGUAAUAAUACACGAUGUUGGUGACAUUAUGGUAAUACCAGAAACGGAGGAGCUGGCUAGGACUCAUUUGAAUGCAACAAGGACAUACGUGCCCAACCAGGGCUGGUUAAUAAAUCCAGCGAAGGUCCAAGGUCCUGCUCAGUGAAAUUCGUAGGAAGAACAUGGGCAGGAGCCACCCAGGAUAUUCCAGAAGUGUGACUAUCAAUAAACUGCUGUCACUCCCCCACCAGGUCCAAACAAGAAGCCCAGCACUUGCUUGAUUUAUUUGGGUUUUGGAGGACUCGCAUUCCACACCGGGAACUAUUUCUAGCUCCUGUGUGUAAGACUCCAUUAAAGAAAGCUGCAUCUGAGUGGGGUCCUGAACAGAAGCAGGCCACGUCAGAACUAUACAUGGCAGCUGUGUGCUUGACACCAUCGGGCCCUUGUGACCCCCACUGAGACAGGAUUUUGGAAGUGUCUGCCCCCCACACCCAUGCAGACUGCAGCUUGUGGGAAUAAAAAGAAAACGAGCACCUCCCAGCUGUGACCCUUGGGAUUCUGGACCAGAAAAUUCCCACAUGGUGCUGCCUGGUACACACCACUUGGGAGACAAUUAUGAACAUGCUGUUGGGAAUUAAUCAAGACUGCUUAAGUGACCGAAGGGCAGGCUGCCAGGAGGAUGCAAGGAGGCGCCCAUGGAUCCACGAGCAGGCAGCCUCAUCUCCUCUGGGACCGACACUGGAGCCCCCGGGGAACUGCAUGGACGGUGCCCUAGGAGCAGCUCUCAGCUGAACAACAGAGCUGCUUGGUUUACAGAGGGCAGUUCCAGGAGGCAUGGACAGUAUCCUGGUUGGAGGGCUGCUGCAGUAAGACCAGGGGAUGGCAAGACUGGCUGGGAGGAAGGAGAUAAACGUGAUCUCAGUGGGCUGAAUUCCAUGCCCUUUUCUGGGCAGUGACGGGAGAAUGGAGCAGUGAGGAAAGCCCCUCGUGCUGGGGUUCCUAUGACUUGGGGCUGUGGAUACUGGCCUGACUGUGUGGCCACGUAGACAGGAAAUGGGAAACUGGACUAUGAAAGCAAUGCCCACGUGGACAACGGCCAUAUGGAUAUUGCCCUGGGAAUUUGAGGGGCACGUUAAAGCAGGCCAUGUUGGUUUGUAUCAGAAGAAGCCUUUCUAGGAGUGGGAGGUGACUGUAGCCACCAGGUGGGCCUGCUGGUGCGGCCCUUGGAGGCAGCCGCCGGGGUCCAUACAAAGAGUGGCUGUGGGGAGCUGCAGCAGCGCGCGCACAGGCUGAGUCUACGCGUAUUCCUCUUGCACCCUGUGAGGCACGGAAUGCCAGCAAGACCUGUUCCGACUGUCAGCUAAAGAGACAGACACUGCAUUUGGCUAUGGGGAAAGUUCCCCAGUGGGCACGCCCUGCACAUAGCUGGCCAGUGGGUGAGAUUGGAUCAACGCUGCUACCGCUCGGAGGCUGUAAGUGGGUCGUUAGCAGAGUAGACACUUAUUCGGGACUAUGCUUUGCAUACCCAGUGGUAGGUGAAAUGCUGAAGACACCGUUUAAGGUUUGGAACUGAAGAUUCUAUACCAGUUUGGACAGCCAGGUUACAUCUCCGACCAGGGGACACGCUUUACCGACCAUGCUGUUCCACGGUGGGCCGAGAAACAUCCCAUCAGACGGAUGUACAGUGUUGCAUGUCACUCUCAGAGCAAUGGUUUAAUAGAAAAUUGGAACGGGC
Manis pentadactyla (Chinese pangolin) is the source of this 2613-nucleotide long non-coding RNA. RefSeq lists it as uncharacterized. The transcript has 2 exons. The record is from RefSeq and is a predicted model, not a curated record. Lineage: Eukaryota; Metazoa; Chordata; Mammalia; Pholidota; Manidae.